AGAGUUUGAUCAUGGCUCAGGACGAACGCUGGCGGCGUGCUUAACACAUGCAAGUCGAACGGAAAGGCCCUUCGGGGUACUCGAGUGGCGAACGGGUGAGUAACACGUGGGUGAUCUGCCCUGCACUUUGGGAUAAGCCUGGGAAACUGGGUCUAAUACCGAAUAGGACCACGCGCUUCAUGGUGUGUGGUGGAAAGCUUUUGCGGUGUGGGAUGGGCCCGCGGCCUAUCAGCUUGUUGGUGGGGUAAUGGCCUACCAAGGCGACGACGGGUAGCCGGCCUGAGAGGGUGACCGGCCACACUGGGACUGAGAUACGGCCCAGACUCCUACGGGAGGCAGCAGUGGGGAAUAUUGCACAAUGGGCGCAAGCCUGAUGCAGCGACGCCGCGUGAGGGAUGACGGCCUUCGGGUUGUAAACCUCUUUCAAUAGGGACGAAGCGCAAGUGACGGUACCUAUAGAAGAAGCACCGGCCAACUACGUGCCAGCAGCCGCGGUAAUACGUAGGGUGCGAGCGUUGUCCAGAAUUACUGGGCGUAAAGAGCUCGUAGGUGGUUUGUCGCGUUGUUCGUGAAAACUCACAGCUUAACUGUGGGCGUGCGGGCGAUACGGGCAGACUAGAGUACUGCAGGGGAGACUGGAAUUCCUGGUGUAGCGGUGGAAUGCGCAGAUAUCAGGAGGAACACCGGUGGCGAAGGCGGGUCUCUGGGCAGUAACUGACGCUGAGGAGCGAAAGCGUGGGGAGCGAACAGGAUUAGAUACCCUGGUAGUCCAA
This 773-nucleotide ribosomal RNA is filed under the name uncultured bacterium. Its description in RNAcentral is "bacterial SSU rRNA". It matches the Rfam family "Bacterial small subunit ribosomal RNA", at positions 8 to 798 of the family's 1533-position model. The record is from RNAcentral.